This 3490-nucleotide long non-coding RNA is filed under the name Brassica napus (rape). Its description in RNAcentral is "long non-coding RNA (BNAP_LNC026647)". The record is from RNAcentral. Lineage: Eukaryota; Viridiplantae; Streptophyta; Magnoliopsida; Brassicales; Brassicaceae.
CCUAAUUUUUGCAACACCUUCUAACGGUUAAGCAUCCUUCUGAACCCACCAAUCACAACAACAGUUCGAGACCACAUAAACAGUGAAAUCGCAAACGAACAGAGAAACAGUUGAGGAAGAGGUUACCAAACAAACGGUGGGGAAGAACCAGGUCCAAAAACACCAGAUACAAAGAUCCAAGCAUGUUCAAAGACUCCUUAAUCAGCACCAACCAAAACCAAAAGCUCAACGAAUGGAUUUAAGAUUUAGAUCUAAAAUUGAAAGAACAAAAACAAAGCCAACUAAACAACCGAGAGACUAGAAGCAAACUACAACACGAAAGAAACAAAUAAACAAACAAACCUGGCCGACGGUGGCUUGGAGAGCCGGAACCGCCAGCCGGUGGCUUGGAGAGCCGGAACCGCCAGCCGGAAACACGAUUCAGAUCUGAGAUGUACUAGAGAGAAGACAGAGGGUUUUUAGAGAGAGAGAGAGAAGACCAACUAAUACUGAGCCAAAUGCAAAAUCUGAUAUACUGAAAUUAUAGAUAAUUUAUCCCCAAUUUUAACAAACGAUAUGUUCUUACGAUUUGAUGUUUAAAAAGUUACAAACCCAUGGCAUAUCUUCUCAUAACUAAACUAGAGCGAGACAUAAAAUGGUAAUCAGAAUCUAACAUAAAGUUUAGAUAACUACAUUCAUGCAUAGCUCAAGAAAUCAACUACGCAUAUGCAGCUACCUUCUGAAAUUAGAGAAGAAAAUGUUCAACAAUUGGUAACCAGGACCUAUCUUUCUAUUUUAGUAUAAGGCAGGAAACUAGAAUUUCCUUUGUUUUGCUUUUGAGAAUGAAGGGACUAAGGAUAACCUUUAGUGGACAAAUCCAUAAAUACCAGAACACAGUGGCACAAGUGGAACUCCUUGGAGAUAUCGAAGCUUAUUUACGAUGUUGAUUUACUCCACUAGCAGACAGUACAUUCCCGAACAGUAUGUUGGUGAUCUCAUCCCUGUUUUAGACUAUUUCAGAAAUAGAUUUGUAUGACCAGUAUAUGAACAUGCUUUAUUCCAAAUCAAUAUUCUCUCCUUCCCCAUGUAACAUACGUUCAAUUAUUAAUCCAGUCUAACACAUGAAUAAAAUCUUCACAAUUUUCUACGUGUGAUAGCAUCAAGAACAACCAAAUACACACUCUCACUGCCAUUUUUAAAAUACCUUAAAGUCCACGUUCUUCUGCUAUCAAAACAAAGGCCCAAACAAAUGCUAAACCAUUACUUAUAGCGUUAACGACAAAAUGAUGGGCCCUUCAAUAUCCGGCAUCACAUGAACAACAAAUCAAGUAGCUGUGUCUGUAAAUCCGUUGUGGAAAACUCAUACAAAACAUCGAAGCUCUACAACAUUCAAUAGUGUAAUAUGAGAUAUGUUAGUCGGAAUAUAAGGACCCCCGGCCUUAACCUCCUUUAUACUAUUCAACUCCAAACACAUCUAAAUAGACUUCAACAGAAGUCUACAAAAUGUAGACUGCCAACGAAGUCUAUAAAAGGUCAGUUUUGCAUCUGACCAAAACUUUGACUUCGUGGAAUAGGUUAGUUUUGUGUUUGACCAAAAAGUUUAAAAAGCAAUCAAAAAUUUAUUAAAUUGUAGACUUCAUAUGCAGUCUUCUUAUCUUAAAAAAAAUGUAGAUUGCAUAUAAAGUCUACUUUUUAUUUUGGUCAAUUGCAAAACCAACCCGUCGGAUUUGAGAGUAGACUCCACAAGAAGUCUACACACCCGUAGACGUUCAUUUCAAUCUACUGAUUUGAAGUCAAACUUGGUCAAUUGCCUUUCCAUUUAUUUGUCUGAAUGUUUUUUCAGGUAAACUACAUCUAUGCGCAUGCAACUUCCACUCUUGCUGGUGAUCUUGCUGAGAUCAAUGCCUUAAAAAAGGUGUUCAAAGCACUUCAGGGAUCAAAAUCAAUGCCACUAAGGUUCGUCCCCAACGCUCAAUUUUAUUUUUAAUGAUCUUCUCCUCUUCUAUUUCCUGUAUUGGUUUGUGAACGUUGAGAUUCGUCUCUUGCCUCUUUCAAUUUUACGAUUGCACAACAAACCUGAAAUAUGUUUUCCUAUCUGUUCAGAGUGUUGAUUGUUAUAGAAUUACUUAUAUGUUUAAUUUUUCACUCUCUCAUCACCAGGAGCAUUGAGAUCACACAAGUUCAAAGGUUGCAAAUGAAAGUUCAUAAAUAUCUCCAUGAGCAGUUUGAGGUAUUGAAUUCACCUGCAUAGCAGCUAAAGAAAUUAACCUUCUUCAUUGCUGAUUUCAAACCAGGAAGGGUAUGAAUUUUUGUUAGUGGUUUAAGCCUGGUUCAUGAAUUGUAGUUAACUUUUAUACCAAAACAUGUUGCAUAUAUGUUUCGGUUAAAGAAGAACCGGGUUAUAUUGUGGAAAAGGAUGCUGCAACCUACAAGUCUUCUAUCUUGAUUUUUAAUUUUUUAUGAGACUGAUAUGAUGGUCUCUUAGAGACAGUGCGUGUAUAAAUAUAGUUUCUCAUUACGUAUGAAGUAAGGUUUCUCAUUACGAAAAUCAUUUUUCAGAUUGUGUAUAAAGUAUAGUUCUUUACGUAAAUCAUUGUUUUUAGAUUCUCAUGUUUUGCCUUUCUUCUGCUUUUUGAUUUGAAUAAAGUCAAACUCAUAUGGUGAGAUUUUUUUUCCAUCGAAACAGAGAUUAUAUUAACUUGAUGGAAUACAUGAUUGGGACACAGAAGCCGGCAAGCCACAUAGCUUCCGGAGACUAAGCCAGCGGAUGAAAGAGCCAUCCCUGGAGACUUUAGCCGGCGAACAACAGACAUGUUCCCGGAACCAAAAGAAAAAACCUUAGAGCUAGGAUGAAACAAACUCAGAACAGAUCCAACAAUACAAUAACUGAACAAUGUUAAAACUGGAAGGGACAAAAAAGAGAAGAAGGAUAAAGUCAACAAAGAACAAACUUAUUAAUGGAGUUCAAGGCUACACUCUUUAUUAUGCUCCAAACGUCACCACAACAUACCACUUAAGAAGCAACGAGCACUUGACAUCUCCAAAGAAGACUCAUGGAAGAGGUCGGUAAACCUGACGCCUUCGACGAACUGAUGAUAAGGAGCCAAAGCCCCAAAACCUUCGAGACGAACCGGAUAUCUUACCUGCAAGCAAAUACCACAGAGGCCUAAUUUUUGCAACACCUUCUAACGGUUAAGCAUCCUUCUGAACCCACCAAUCACAACAACAGUUCGAGACCACAUAAACAGUGAAAUCGCAAACGAACAGAGAAACAGUUGAGGAAGAGGUUACCAAACAAACGGUGGGGAAGAACCAGGUCCAAAAACACCAGAUACAAAGAUCCAAGCAUGUUCAAAGACUCCUUAAUCAGCACCAACCAAAACCUAAAGCUCAACGAAUGGAUUUAAGAUUUAGAUCUAAAAUUGAAAGAACAAAAACAAAGCCAACUAAACAACCGAGAGACUAGAAGCAAACUACAACACGAAAGAAACAAAUAAACAAACAAACCUGG